This 922-nucleotide long non-coding RNA is filed under the name Notechis scutatus (mainland tiger snake). Its description in RNAcentral is "lncRNA (ENSNSUG00000019092.1)". The record is from RNAcentral. Lineage: Eukaryota; Metazoa; Chordata; Lepidosauria; Squamata; Elapidae.
GAGCGAUUGCCGUGGGCAAGUUCUUGUUUUGCUUCUCUCCUCUUUGCUCCUUUCGCAUUCCAUAGCAUGGUAAUUAACAGCACUCGGAGUGUUUUAAAAUAAAUAUGCUGGUGACGUUUGGUGGUAUGUUUUGUUCCCAGACGAUCAACAGCCAUUUCUUGGAAAGCAGCUGGAGACUCAGCUGAGAGCAGCCCCGAAGCGCUUUUAUUCAGCGCCAUUGCAAGUGAUUGCCUGAGAAAAUAACAGUGUCACACAAUGCUGCGCCUCUUUGCGCGGGCACAUCGCUGGAGAAGAAAACAUGGGGAUUUGCCGCUCUUUCUUCCCUCGUUUAUCCCAGGGGCCCCUGGCAGCCCGUCCUGUUUGCCCUGGGAAAAACCCAACUGCUGCACCCAUAAACUUUUGUGCUGAGAAGGGAAUUUCAAAUCCAAAGAGGCAUCGGUGGCAAGCAGGCGGUGCAGCUUGUGGCUUGCCUCUGGCUUGUGAAGCCCAUGAUAGCAAAGUCUUUUGCAUAAAAGGACUGAGUCACAGGCAUGCUAAGGCAAUUCUUUUAUGCCUUAGCAAAUAAACAGCAAACCAUCACCAAGAAUCUGACAGAACUUUUUAGUGUCCAAAUCCCCAAAAGAGGUGGGGAUAGAGUAUCAUAAGGACCCACCUGAUCGUGGAUUGCGAACACACAGAGUACCCGAUUUUGUCAGAGAACGAUCCUCGUACUCUUCUUUACAAUGGCAGGAGUAUGUUCCAUAUUCGUUGAGACAAGUGGCCUCGUUGCCACAUAAAGCAAUUUCAGAGUUGCAUUCAUUCACAUCUAUCACGCAUGGACAAAACAGUUUUCCAUUAACAGGUGAUUAAGCUUCCAAAGACAGGAGUUACUGUUUUAUUGGAUAUUCCCUGAUUAAUAAAAUAAUUGCUUACCUACCUUUCA